Molecule: ribosomal RNA, 460 nt
Filed under: uncultured bacterium
Lineage: Bacteria
Description: partial 16S ribosomal RNA
Rfam family: Bacterial small subunit ribosomal RNA
Source: RNAcentral
CCUACGGGAGGCUGCAGUGAGGAAUAUUGGUCAAUGGACGAGAGUCUGAACCAGCCAAGUAGCGUGAAGGAUGACUGCCCUAUGGGUUGUAAACUUCUUUUAUAUGGGAAUAAAAUGUUCCACGUGUGGGAUUUUGUAUGUACCAUAUGAAUAAGGCUCGGCUAACUCCGUGCCAGCAGCCGCGGUAAUACGGAGGAUCCGAGCGUUAUCCGGAUUUAUUGGGUUUAAAGGGAGCGUAGGUGGAUUGUUAAGUCAGUUGUGAAAGUUUGCGGCUCAACCGUAAAAUUGCAGUUGAAACUGGCAGUCUUGAGUACAGUAGAGGUGGGCGGAAUUCGUGGUGUAGCGGUGAAAUGCUUAGAUAUCACGAAGAACUCCGAUUGCGAAGGCAGUUCACUGGACUGCAACUGACACUGAGGCUCGAAAGUGUGGGUAUCAAACAGGAUUAGAUACCCUUGUAGUC